This 435-nucleotide ribosomal RNA is filed under the name uncultured bacterium. RNAcentral's name for it is "partial 16S ribosomal RNA". It matches the Rfam family "Bacterial small subunit ribosomal RNA", at positions 29 to 507 of the family's 1533-position model. The record is from RNAcentral.
AGCGAACGCUGGCGGCAGGCUUAACACAUGCAAGUCGAGCGGGCAUCUUCGGAUGUCAGCGGCAGACGGGUGCGUAACACGUGGGAACGUACCCUUCGGUUCGGAACAACUCUGGGAAACUGGAGCCAAUACCGGAUACGCCCUUAUGGGGAAAGGUUUACUGCCGAAGGAUCGGCCCGCGUCUGAUUAGCUAGUUGGUGGGGUAACGGCCUACCAAGGCGACGAUCAGUAGCUGGUCUGAGAGGAUGAUCAGCCACACUGGGACUGAGACACGGCCCAGACUCCUACGGGAGGCAGCAGUGGGGAAUAUUGGACAAUGGGCGCAAGCCUGAUCCAGCCAGGCCGCGUGAGUGAUGAAGGCCUUAGGGUUGUAAAGCUCUUUUGUCCGGGACGAUAAUGACGGUACCGGAAGAAUAAGCCCCGGCUAACUUCGUG